AACAGAAAAGAAUUUGCCAUCCAU
This 24-nucleotide non-coding RNA is filed under the name Cricetulus griseus (Chinese hamster). The record is from RNAcentral. Lineage: Eukaryota; Metazoa; Chordata; Mammalia; Rodentia; Cricetidae.